RNAcentral lists this ribosomal RNA (253 nucleotides) under uncultured bacterium. RNAcentral's name for it is "partial 16S ribosomal RNA". It matches the Rfam family "Bacterial small subunit ribosomal RNA", at positions 524 to 776 of the family's 1533-position model. The record is from RNAcentral.
UACGUAGGGGGCUAGCGUUGUCUGGAAUCAUUGGGCGUAAAGCGCGCGUAGGCGGCCAGAUAAGUCCGGUGUGAAAGUCACAGGCUCAACCUGUGAAUGCCGCUGGAAACUGUCUGGCUUGAGUCCGGAAGGGGCGAGUGGAAUUCCUGGUGUAGCGGUGAAAUGCGCAGAUAUCAGGAAGAACACCCGUGGCGAAGGCGGCUCUCUGGGACGGUACUGACGCUGAGACGCGAAAGCGUGGGGAGCGAACAGG